This 497-nucleotide ribosomal RNA is filed under the name uncultured bacterium. RNAcentral describes it as "partial 16S ribosomal RNA". The stretch from base 20 to 341 matches the Rfam family "Bacterial small subunit ribosomal RNA", at positions 47 to 358 of the family's 1533-position model. The record is from RNAcentral.
GAUGAACGCUGGCGGCGUGCCUAAUACAUGCAAGUCGAGCGAACAGACGAGGAGCUUGCUCCUCUGACGUUAGCGGCGGACGGGUGAGUAACACGUGGAUAACCUACCUAUAAGACUGGGAUAACUUCGGGAAACCGGAGCUAAUACCGGAUAAUAUAUUGAACCGCAUGGUUCAAUAGUGAAAGACGGUUUUGCUGUCACUUAUAGAUGGAUCCGCGCCGCAUUAGCUAGUUGGUAAGGUAACGGCUUACCAAGGCAACGAUGCGUAGCCGACCUGAGAGGGGGAGAGGCAACAGGGGAAGGGAGCAAGGGACAGGCGUCAAAGGGGAGGAAGAAGGAGGAAAGAUGCGAAAGAGGGAGAAAGCGGGAGGGAGAAAGGAGGGGGGAGGAAAGAAGGUGUUGGAAUCGAAAAACUUGGUAAUGGGGAAAAAAAAAAGGUGAAAGAAAAAAGGAGGGUCUGGAGGGAAAAAAAAAAAAAGACAAGGGAAAAAAGAGUG